ACAGAUUUUCAGUCAUACAAAAGGAAUGAUAGCAAGAUCAAAGAUGGUCAGUCAACUAGGGUAGAGGCUGACUUGCAUUUGUGACACUGUCUACACAAAGAAACAUCUUGCUUUUAAAGCAGUCAUGUUGGGAAGAAGAAACUAUGUUCUACAGUGUCCCAUCUGCAAUCCACAUGUGUUAUGGAAGGAAGGUGGUAACCAAGAAAAAGUACCCUGUGGGUGGAGAUGGACAAAAGAAUGGCAUUAUACAGCCCAGAAGAGUACCUCCAGACAUGGAGAUAGUGGAUUGGAUAAAGAACAAAAGUGUUCAAGGAAAGGAGUCUGCUCUGGAAUAAGGAUAAAAUCUGUGGCCACAGAACAGAACAAAGUUAAUUGAACAACAUCCAUGAAGUGACUUGGAGAGAUUUUGGUCUAUUAGCAAAGAAUAGUGAUCAAUCAGACAGUCUGGACCUGUGACAGUGGCUGGCACUAAAGAAAAAGUUCCAGGCUGAAGAGUGUGUGAAACUGAUCACCUCAAAGGGGGAGGGGCCCCAGGAGAGUGGAAUCUGGAGGAGGAGAAGGUUCUGGCUCCCAGGAGAGUGGAAUCUGGAGGAGGAGAAGGUUCUGGCUGAGAGAGCAGUUGGUCUCUCAGUAGGCAAGGGCCAAAGAGAGAAGGCGGAUUAAGACUUUCUCCUGAGGGUUAUCCACUUUUUCCUUCUUGAGGUUGGAACUCUUUCCCCCCAACACUUCCCAAUUGAAGGGAAUUUCUGAAGAGAAACCUGAGCAGACUUUACCUCAGCUCCUGUUGCCCAGGGGCAGUCAAUCUGACUUUCUCUCAGGGGGCUCAGGCUGCCAAGGCCUGAGUUCCCCCCAAAGUUGAGGAGAGAGGGAAAAGGGUUUUAGAUAGAGACAGGGACCCCCUUUUCCCACUUUCCUUUCCCAUUCUUUCCCUGCUAGUUAUUCUUUGUUAAUAAUCCCUGAUUAAGAUGGCAUUAAAAUAGUUAUCUGUUUAAAAAAAAAGGGUUUUAGAUAGAGACAGGGACCCCCUUCUCCCACCUUCCUUUCCCAUUCUUUCCCUGUCAGGUGUUCCUUUGUAUUAUCCUGAUUGGGUUAAGUUGACAUUAAAAUAGUUAUCUUUUCCCCAAGCUGUGUGUGAGUGAACAGAUCAAGGGAAGACCCUUUGGUCUCGAGUAGUGUGUGUAUGGGGCAGGGAGGGGGGGCAAAAGGAACAAGAGCAGAUCUGGGAGAUCAGCCUUAGCUAAGGAGGGCAGGCAAAAGGGGGAAAAUCUUCAAACCCCCUCUCCUCUCUCUGAGUCAACCUUAAACAUCAGCUGUUUCCCCUGAACCCUGCUUUGAGAAGGGUGGGUCUCCACUCUUCCCCUCUCUCUCUAGUCUGAAAGACUGAACCCCUCUGAUACAAAUUAACCUCCCCUUGAAAACAGAC
Molecule: long non-coding RNA, 1423 nt
Filed under: Monodelphis domestica (gray short-tailed opossum)
Lineage: Eukaryota; Metazoa; Chordata; Mammalia; Didelphimorphia; Didelphidae
Description: lncRNA (ENSMODG00000044969.1)
Source: RNAcentral